This 439-nucleotide ribosomal RNA is filed under the name uncultured bacterium. Its description in RNAcentral is "partial 16S ribosomal RNA". It matches the Rfam family "Bacterial small subunit ribosomal RNA", at positions 339 to 795 of the family's 1533-position model. The record is from RNAcentral.
CUACGGGACGCACCAGUGAGGAAUAUUGCACAAUGGGGGGAACCCUGAUGCAGCAACGCCGCGUGGAGGAUGACGCAUUUCGGUGUGUAAACUCCUUUUAUAUGUCAAGAAAAUGACGGUAGCAUAUGAAUAAGCACCGGCUAACUCCGUGCCAGCAGCCGCGGUAAUACGGAGGGUGCAAGCGUUACUCGGAAUCGCUGGGCGUAAAGGACGCGUAGGCGGGUUGGAAAGUCAGGUGUGAAAUCCUACAGCUUAACUGUAGAACUGCACUUGAAACUUCUAAUCUAGAGUAUGGGAGGGGGAGAUGGAAUUAGUGGUGUAGGGGUAAAAUCCGUAGAUAUCACUAGGAAUACCUAAAGCGAAGGCGAUCUCCUGGAACAUUACUGACGCUGAGGCACGAAAGCGUGGGGAGCAAACAGGAUUAGAUACCCCCGUAGUC